Benincasa hispida (wax gourd) is the source of this 1114-nucleotide non-coding RNA. Lineage: Eukaryota; Viridiplantae; Streptophyta; Magnoliopsida; Cucurbitales; Cucurbitaceae. The record is from RefSeq and is a predicted model, not a curated record.
CAUGGUACGUUUCAAUUGGAUGACAGUUAGGCUGCACAAAAGAUGAGUGCAACCCAGCUGCACCUAAGUUUUCCCCCUUUUUUUGUUCAUCACUGUAGCACAUACCGGCCGUUGUUCGCCCCUGAUCAUUAACAUGUCUCCUGCCAUGAUUUCGUCCGUGCCGCCCAACCUCACUAGUAGUCAACAUGCAAUACCGAUGAAUGUUCAUCUCCCUUAAGUCCCUCUCUAACACCUGGGUUUUGCACAGUAACUCCAGCAUCAACCCUUAAGUAUCUCUUUCUAACACCUGGGUUUUGCACUGUAGCUCCACCACCGACCAUCCCUCACUCACAUCGGUCAUCAUUUGUUGUCAAAUCGUCGAUCGCUGCCAACUCCCCUUAGCCGUUGGAGGUUUGCACCAUCAUUGCCGAAUUAUUUGGAUUUUAUGAGUAAAGGUUUCUUCUUCAAGAUUUGAGCCCAUAACUCCUAGAUUCUCACAUCAAGAAUACCAAGAUAACCACUGUGGUGGUGUUCUAGUUCCGUUCGAGGAUUGAGUUGGAUUCGAUUGGGUUCGAGGUUCAUUCGGAUAUUCGUUAAGAUCGAGUUCUGAUCGUUGCAUUUGAGUUCGUGUUGUUGAAUGAUCGAGGGAUACUUGAAGAAAGGUUAUUCAAAGUAAACUAGGUGACGAUUUACUCUCCUAGCAUUACCAUGUUACAACUCUGUGGACCAACUGGCUCACUAUCAUGUUACAGCUUCAUGGAUUGAUGAGUUCACUACCAUUUUACAGCUUCAUGGACUGACGAGUUCACUACCAUGUUACAACUCCAGAUCGACAGGUUGACCAUAUAUUAUAGCUUCAUGGACCGAAAAGUUCACUAUAGCUUCGUGAACUGACAAUUUCAUCAUCAUGUUAUAGUUUCAUCGACGAAUCCACUUUCAUAUUAUUCUGUGAGCCUUUGAGCCACCAGAUUUGUGUUAAGAUGUGUUAAAUUGUUCUCUAUAUUGUCAGUCAUGAUUAGUUGAUGUAUGCAUGUCCCACUAGUACGACUGUGUUUAUUGGACAUGAAUGCAUAGUCUGACCCAAGUAGUAGGGUUACUUAUUGGGGAAUUAUACUCAUCCUUUCUUAUGUUAUGU